RNAcentral lists this ribosomal RNA (1432 nucleotides) under Pediococcus pentosaceus. RNAcentral's name for it is "bacterial SSU rRNA". It matches the Rfam family "Bacterial small subunit ribosomal RNA". The record is from RNAcentral. Lineage: Bacteria; Bacillati; Bacillota; Bacilli; Lactobacillales; Lactobacillaceae.
GAACUUCCGUUAAUUGAUUAUGACGUACUUGUACUGAUUGAGAUUUUAACACGAAGUGAGUGGCGAACGGGUGAGUAACACGUGGGUAACCUGCCCAGAAGUAGGGGAUAACACCUGGAAACAGAUGCUAAUACCGUAUAACAGAGAAAACCGCAUGGUUUUCUUUUAAAAGAUGGCUCUGCUAUCACUUCUGGAUGGACCCGCGGCGUAUUAGCUAGUUGGUGAGGUAAAGGCUCACCAAGGCAGUGAUACGUAGCCGACCUGAGAGGGUAAUCGGCCACAUUGGGACUGAGACACGGCCCAGACUCCUACGGGAGGCAGCAGUAGGGAAUCUUCCACAAUGGACGCAAGUCUGAUGGAGCAACGCCGCGUGAGUGAAGAAGGGUUUCGGCUCGUAAAGCUCUGUUGUUAAAGAAGAACGUGGGUAAGAGUAACUGUUUACCCAGUGACGGUAUUUAACCAGAAAGCCACGGCUAACUACGUGCCAGCAGCCGCGGUAAUACGUAGGUGGCAAGCGUUAUCCGGAUUUAUUGGGCGUAAAGCGAGCGCAGGCGGUCUUUUAAGUCUAAUGUGAAAGCCUUCGGCUCAACCGAAGAAGUGCAUUGGAAACUGGGAGACUUGAGUGCAGAAGAGGACAGUGGAACUCCAUGUGUAGCGGUGAAAUGCGUAGAUAUAUGGAAGAACACCAGUGGCGAAGGCGGCUGUCUGGUCUGCAACUGACGCUGAGGCUCGAAAGCAUGGGUAGCGAACAGGAUUAGAUACCCUGGUAGUCCAUGCCGUAAACGAUGAUUACUAAGUGUUGGAGGGUUUCCGCCCUUCAGUGCUGCAGCUAACGCAUUAAGUAAUCCGCCUGGGGAGUACGACCGCAAGGUUGAAACUCAAAAGAAUUGACGGGGGCCCGCACAAGCGGUGGAGCAUGUGGUUUAAUUCGAAGCUACGCGAAGAACCUUACCAGGUCUUGACAUCUUCUGACAGUCUAAGAGAUUAGAGGUUCCCUUCGGGGACAGAAUGACAGGUGGUGCAUGGUUGUCGUCAGCUCGUGUCGUGAGAUGUUGGGUUAAGUCCCGCAACGAGCGCAACCCUUAUUACUAGUUGCCAGCAUUAAGUUGGGCACUCUAGUGAGACUGCCGGUGACAAACCGGAGGAAGGUGGGGACGACGUCAAAUCAUCAUGCCCCUUAUGACCUGGGCUACACACGUGCUACAAUGGAUGGUACAACGAGUCGCGAGACCGCGAGGUUAAGCUAAUCUCUUAAAACCAUUCUCAGUUCGGACUGUAGGCUGCAACUCGCCUACACGAAGUCGGAAUCGCUAGUAAUCGCGGAUCAGCAUGCCGCGGUGAAUACGUUCCCGGGCCUUGUACACACCGCCCGUCACACCAUGAGAGUUUGUAACACCCAAAGCCGGUGGGGUAACCUUUUAGGAGCUAGCCG